UGAUUCUUUUUCCAAAGCUUUGAUAUAUGACUCAUGGCUAUGAUCAAGACUUAUAUGAUGAUUCGUUAGAUCUUUAUAAUCUCAAAAUUAUUAUCAAAAUUUUUAGUAAAAUAAAACAAGAUAUGAAAUCAUCAUAAAUGAAAAAAAAAAAAAAAUCUAUCAAUAUCAAUCUCUGUCAAUCAAAAGUUUUAAAACUAAAUCAAAUCAUCUAUCAAAAAAAAAAAGAAGGAAAAAAUCAGACUUACCUCAAUUAAUACUACGAAUCCUUUGUCCUUUCCAAAACAAACUUCUCUACCUCUCUUAUCUUAUUGUUGCUAGCUUCGUAGUAUCUCACUCUUUUCAUCGUUUGAUUCCAUGAUAGGUUGAGUGAGUAGGAAGUUACUAUCGGG
This 389-nucleotide long non-coding RNA is filed under the name Capsella rubella. RNAcentral's name for it is "long non-coding RNA (CRUB_LNC003796)". The record is from RNAcentral. Lineage: Eukaryota; Viridiplantae; Streptophyta; Magnoliopsida; Brassicales; Brassicaceae.